Long non-coding RNA from Anneissia japonica, 1163 nucleotides. RefSeq lists it as uncharacterized. The record is from RefSeq and is a predicted model, not a curated record. NCBI's taxonomy places the organism in Eukaryota, Metazoa, Echinodermata, Crinoidea, Comatulida, Comatulidae. The transcript is spliced from 3 exons.
CAGUAUAUUGGGUCAAUAAGAAAGCCAGUUCAACAUCAGGUAAUGAAAUGUUUGCUGUCAAACUAAAAGACGUAGAAAACAUUUUUGAUUGCUACAACGGAUUCUGCAACCUAGAGUUCGUGGACUGCUCAAAGGCAUGUGUUAUUUCGCAAGAUUUCUACUGUGUAGGCAAGUGUAAACAACAACAGAAGAAAUGCGCGUUUGAAUGCAUCAGCGAUGUUGGUAUGGACCUAAAACAUGUAUGUUCAGAUCUUGCAUCGAAAUAGAAUGAUCAAAAGUAGAUAGAGAGGGUUACUCGUCUUUUUGUACAAAACCCAUUUGCGAUAUAGAAGCAAACAGGUUCGCCCAUACAUUGUGUGGACUAUUACUAUUUAUUAGGUCUUGGACUGGUUAGCUGAAGUAGGUAUCAAUACCUAUGUAACACAUACUGGCAUUGCUUGAAGAAUGGACUUAUGUUUCUAUCGGCUUAGAGAUUGGGGAUUAUUCAUGGUUUGUUUGGUUUUUUUUUAAUUACCAGAAAACCUACACUUAAGCUACACGUGACCUACCGGUAUUGCUUACCUUGAAAGACACCAUACAAAUAUUGUUGUUAUUCUCAUAACAUACUGUUAACCCCCUCCACUUUCUUCUCUUCCCAUUAUGUCGUUGAUAUUUUUGUAAAGAACAUCCCCCACCUAUAUGUCAUUGAUAUCGUUUUAUACAAAAACAAAAUCAGGCAUGUAAUGGGUUCCACUUAAAAAAUGUGACGAAGCUAAAAAUCACGAACUUCCCAAUAACUUCGAUUGAACAAUUUGUUAAAGACCUGUAAUGUGUUCAAACAGAGUCUAUUCAAAUACGUUAUGAACGCAAUAUUAAUAUUUGUAUUAUAAUAAUAAUAAUUAUUAUUAUAGUCAUAAUUGUAUUUGUUAAUAAUAUAAAAUAGUCGUCAAACCAUUUAUCUGUAUUAAAACUUUAGGAACAAACCCGACAAUUAAUAAUGUAAACUAAAUUUUGAGACUUAUAAAAGCAUAAAAUGAGAUCACUUGUGUUCUAAUAGCAUAGCAGGACAUUUUAUUGGUGUUAUUUCAGAUGUAUUUUGUAAUGAGAACACUUAUGGUGAGCAUCAAGUUCCAUGGCUCCGGCGUUAAACGAGUGCGUACCAAUAAAGUUUAAUCGGAACUUUG